This 1880-nucleotide long non-coding RNA is filed under the name Dasypus novemcinctus (nine-banded armadillo). RNAcentral's name for it is "lncRNA (ENSDNOG00000050992.1)". The record is from RNAcentral. Lineage: Eukaryota; Metazoa; Chordata; Mammalia; Cingulata; Dasypodidae.
UAGAGAAAACUGAGUAGUUGAUGAAACAUCUUAGUGAAACAUGACAUUAAACACUGAGACCACAUAUCCUGUUGACCAGUUUAGAAAAUAUGCUUUGACCCAAAAUAUUUGAAAUAGAGAUUGUCUCAAAAAAUCAUUACAAAAGGUCACUGCAAUGUUUGUUUUGUAGAAGUUGUCCCUGUACUUCCCCUGGGAGGAAGGAAGGAAGAGAUAUACUGCACAUACACGUACUGUGCACUACACACACAUACAUGUCCACUAAAGACUAUGCACACACACAUACUAUGUACUGUACAAACUCUCACACACACAUAAACAUGUAUGCUAAGAACAACACACACAAUUACAGCUCUUUCUUUAACUAGCAAGGCAUUAAAAAGAUUGAACAAGGAAUGUCCUUCUGAAGAAGUGUCACUUCCUUCCUCACAAAAUUCUUUCCCUCCCAUCCAGCCCUAAGUGACCCUGUGUGCUACUAUAUGCUCUAGGCUUUCUUAGGUCAACCUUACUUUGGUUGAUGCCCCCUGAAAAACUAAGAGGCGGGGGCAUGGCAAGCAGCAGACCCUGCCGGCAGAGAUGGAGCUUUACUUCUCCUCCCCAAAGGGUUUUUGUGGACCACUGGACCAGGGCUUGGUAUCAGGACUCCCUGGCUGGGGAUGCCUUGUGGGGAUGACCCCUCUACCCCCAAGAGAAGAGCUGCCUGCUAAGCAUCAAGACGGAGCAGAAGCCCUCUUGCUGCACUGCUCACAGCACUCCAUUUUCAAGACAAUAGAGACUGGCCUGAUAGACAAUGUAUUCUUUAUCUAUUGCUGCACAACAAAUUACUCAAAGCCUUGUUAAUUUAAACAUAAAAUAUAAUUUAUUAUUGCCCAUGGUUGAUGCAUGUCAGGAAUUCAGCCAAGGCAGAGUGGAAAUGGAUUUUCUCUGUCACUCAGCUGGAUUUGAAGGCUGGGCACUAAAUUCAUGUGAAGUCUUGUUCACACAUACGUCUGGAGGUUGAUGCUGGACACUGGUUGGAACGCCCACACAUUGCGACUCCAUAUGACCUGAACUUCCUCACAACAUGGAGGCUGAGUUCCAAAGGAGGGCAUCCAGAGAGAGAGUGUGUGCAUGACAUAAACAGUUUCCUUUUUAUGUCCUAGCCUCAAAAGUUUCAUAUCAUCCUUUCUGAGGUACUUUGAUGAUUGGAACCAUCAGGGGUCUCUGCCCAGUUUCAUGGGGAUGGUACAUAGACCCCACUUCUUGAUGGGACCUGUGUUAGUCACAUUGUAAGAAGAACAUGUGGAAUGGAAUACAUAUGUUGAUGUAGGAAUCUUUGGAAAAUACAAUAUGCCAUAGUUGAGCAUGUGACCUGUAGCAAUUUGAUAUGGUUAUGAAUUCCAAAAAUAAAUAUUGGAUUAUGUUUGUAAUCUGAUCUGUACCUAGGCAUGAUUAAGUUAUGAUUAAGGCUUUGAUUGGGCCACAUCAUUAAGGCAUUGAGUCUCCACCCACCAAGGCAUGGCAAAAAGCAGAGUUGUGGGCUUUUAAUGUUGGAGUUUGAAGCUGAAGCCUUAAGCUGGAGCCCCGGGGAGAGAGACAGAGCUGUUCUCCUGAUAGUCUACAGCUGGCCUUGUGGAGAGAGACAAAGCCUAGAGAGCCUCAUAGUCUACAGCUGACCUUGUGGAGAAAACAGAGGAGCUGAACCCAGAGGAACCCAGGAAGCCUGAACCCUUGCAUACAUCGGCAGACAUCUUGCUCCAACAUGAGAAAAUAGACUUUGGUGAGGGAAGUAACUUAUGCUUUAUGGCCUGGUAUCUGUAAGCUCCUACCCCAAAUAAAUACCCUUUAUAAAAACGAACCCAUUUCUGGUAUUUUGCAUCAGCACCCCUUUGGCUGACUAAUAC